GAUGAACGCUGGCGGCGUGCCUAAUACAUGCAAGUCGAGCGAACAGACGAGGAGCUUGCUCCUCUGACGUUAGCGGCGGACGGGUGAGUAACACGUGGAUAACCUACCUAUAAGACUGGGAUAACUUCGGGAAACCGGAGCUAAUACCGGAUAAUAUAUUGAACCGCAUGGUUCAAUAGUGAAAGACGGUUUUGCUGUCACUUAUAGAUGGAUCCGCGCCGCAUUAGCUAGUUGGUAAGGUAACGGCUUACCAAGGCAACGAUGCGUAGCCGACCUGAGGGGGUGAUCAGCCACACUGGAACUGAGGCACGGUCCAGACUCCUACGGGAGGCAGCAGUAGAGAAUCUUCCGCAAGGGGCGAAAGCCUAACGUAGCAAAGCCGCCUGAGUGAUGAAGGACCUCGGAUCGUAAAACGCUGUUAGUAGGGAAGAACAAAAGUGUAAGUAACUAUGAACGUCUUGACAGUACCUAGUGAGAAAGCCACGGCUAACUACGUG
Molecule: ribosomal RNA, 497 nt
Filed under: uncultured bacterium
Lineage: Bacteria
Description: partial 16S ribosomal RNA
Rfam family: Bacterial small subunit ribosomal RNA
Source: RNAcentral